Pseudomonas chlororaphis subsp. aureofaciens 30-84 is the source of this 72-nucleotide non-coding RNA. The record is from Rfam. NCBI's taxonomy places the organism in Bacteria, Pseudomonadati, Pseudomonadota, Gammaproteobacteria, Pseudomonadales, Pseudomonadaceae.
CGUCAGCGACCCAACCGCCUGCCCGCUUCCCGGCCACGGCACCAACCCUAUCGUCACGGGUUCGCCCAAUGU